Podarcis lilfordi (Lilford's wall lizard) is the source of this 187-nucleotide non-coding RNA. NCBI's taxonomy places the organism in Eukaryota, Metazoa, Chordata, Lepidosauria, Squamata, Lacertidae. The record is from the annotation of a GenBank genome assembly.
GCUGAAUGUUCAGUUGGAAUCUCCUUUCUUGUAAUUUGAAGUCAUUGUUUUGAGUCCUACCUUCCAUAGCAGAAUAAAGCAAGUUUGUUCCCUCUUCCAUGUGACAGCCCUUAAGGUAUUUGAAGAUGGCGAUCAUAUCUCCUCUCAGUCUCCUUUUCUCCAGGCUAAGCAUACCCAGCUCCUUCAA